RNAcentral lists this ribosomal RNA (480 nucleotides) under uncultured bacterium. Its description in RNAcentral is "partial 16S ribosomal RNA". It matches the Rfam family "Bacterial small subunit ribosomal RNA", at positions 28 to 523 of the family's 1533-position model. The record is from RNAcentral.
GACGAACGCUGGCGGCGUGCUUAACACAUGCAAGUCGAGCGAUGAAGCACCUUCGGGUGUGGAUUGGCGGCGAACGGGUGAGGAACACGUGAGGAAUCUGCCUUUCACUUCGGGAUAACUCCGGGAAACCGGGGCUAAUACCGGAUAUUUUCAACUGGCGGCAUCGCCGGUUGAAGAAAGUUUUUCGGUGAAAGAUGACCUCGCGGCCUAUCAGCUUGUUGGUGAGGUAAUGGCUCACCAAGGCGACGACGGGUAGCCGGCCUGAGAGGGCGACCGGCCACACUGGGACUGAGACACGGCCCAGACUCCUACGGGAGGCAGCAGUGGGGAAUAUUGGGCAAUGGAGGAAACUCUGACUCAGCGACGCCGCGUGAGGGAUGAAGGCCUUCGGGUUGUAAACCUCUUUCAGCAGGGAAUAAGCGAAAGUGAAGGUACCUGCAGAAGAAGCACCGGCUAACUAUGUGCCAGCAGCCGCAGUAA